UACGUAGGGUGCGAGCGUUAAUCGGAAUUACUGGGCGUAAAGCGUGCGCAGGCGGUGAUGUAAGACCGAUGUGAAAUCCCCGGGCUCAACCUGGGAACUGCAUUUGUGACUGCACAGCUGGAGUGCGGCAGAGGGGGAUGGAAUUCCGCGUGUGGCAGUGAAAUGCGUAGAUAUGCGGAGGAACACCGAUGGCGAAGGCAAUCCCCUGGGCCUGCACUGACGCUCAUGCACGAAAGCGUGGGGAGCAAACAGG
This 253-nucleotide ribosomal RNA is filed under the name uncultured bacterium. RNAcentral's name for it is "partial 16S ribosomal RNA". It matches the Rfam family "Bacterial small subunit ribosomal RNA", at positions 524 to 776 of the family's 1533-position model. The record is from RNAcentral.